Molecule: ribosomal RNA, 1063 nt
Filed under: uncultured Gammaproteobacteria bacterium
Lineage: Bacteria; Pseudomonadati; Pseudomonadota; Gammaproteobacteria
Description: bacterial SSU rRNA
Rfam family: Bacterial small subunit ribosomal RNA
Source: RNAcentral
GAGUUUGAUCCUGGCUCAGAUUGAACGCUGGCGGCAGGCCUAACACAUGCAAGUCGAGCGGUAACAGAUCCAGCUUGCUGGAUGCUGACGAGCGGCGGACGGGUGAGUAAUGCAUAGGAAUCUGCCCGAUAGUGGGGGAUAACCUGGGGAAACCCAGGCUAAUACCGCAUACGUCCUACGGGAGAAAGGGGGCUCCGGCUCCCGCUAUGGGAUGAGCCUAUGUCGGAUUAGCUAGUUGGUGAGGUAACGGCUCACCAAGGCCACGAUCCGUAGCUGGUCUGAGAGGAUGAUCAGCCACAUCGGGACUGAGACACGGCCCGAACUCCUACGGGAGGCAGCAGUGGGGAAUAUUGGACAAUGGGGGCAACCCUGAUCCAGCCAUGCCGCGUGUGUGAAGAAGGCCCUCGGGUUGUAAAGCACUUUCAGCGAGGAAGAACGCCUAGCGGUUAAUACCCGCUAGGAAAGACAUCACUCGCAGAAGAAGCACCGGCUAACUCCGUGCCAGCAGCCGCGGUAAUACGGAGGGUGCAAGCGUUAAUCGGAAUUACUGGGCGUAAAGCGCGCGUAGGUGGCUUGAUAAGCCGGUUGUGAAAGCCCCGGGCUCAACCUGGGAACGGCAUCCGGAACUGUCAAGCUAGAGUGCAGGAGAGGAAGGUAGAAUUCCCGGUGUAGCGGUGAAAUGCGUAGAGAUCGGGAGGAAUACCAGUGGCGAAGGCGGCCUUCUGGACUGACACUGACACUGAGGUGCGAAAGCGUGGGUAGCAAACAGGAUUAGAUACCCUGGUAGUCCACGCCGUAAACGAUGUCGACCAGCCGUUGGGUGCCUAGCGCACUUUGUGGCGAAGUUAACGCGAUAAGUCGACCGCCUGGGGAGUACGGCCGCAAGGUUAAAACUCAAAUGAAUUGACGGGGGCCCGCACAAGCGGUGGAGCAUGUGGUUUAAUUCGAUGCAACGCGAAGAACCUUACCUACUCUUGACAUCCUGCGAAUUUGGUAGAGAUACCUUAGUGCCUUCGGGAACGCAGAGACAGGUGCUGCAUGGCUGUCGUCAGCUCGUGUUGUG